This 253-nucleotide ribosomal RNA is filed under the name uncultured bacterium. RNAcentral describes it as "partial 16S ribosomal RNA". It matches the Rfam family "Bacterial small subunit ribosomal RNA", at positions 524 to 776 of the family's 1533-position model. The record is from RNAcentral.
UACAGAGGGUGCGAGCGUUAAUCGGAAUUACUGGGCGUAAAGCGUGCGUAGACGGUUAUUUAAGUCGGAUGUGAAAGCCCCGGGCUCAACCUGGGAAUUGCAUUCGAGACUGAAUAGCUAGGGUGCGGUAGAGGGAAGCGGAAUUUCCGGUGUAGCGGUGAAAUGCGUAGAUAUCGGAAGGAACACCAGUGGCGAAGGCGGCUUCCUGGCCUGUUCUUGACGCUGAGGCGCGAAAGCUAGGGGAGCAAACGGG